This 460-nucleotide ribosomal RNA is filed under the name uncultured bacterium. RNAcentral's name for it is "partial 16S ribosomal RNA". It matches the Rfam family "Bacterial small subunit ribosomal RNA", at positions 338 to 795 of the family's 1533-position model. The record is from RNAcentral.
CCUACGGGAGGCAGCAGUGAGGAAUAUUGGUCAAUGGGCGGGAGCCUGAACCAGCCAAGUCGCGUGAGGGAAGACGGUCCUAUGGAUUGUAAACCUCUUUAGGCGGGGAGCAAUGCCGGGCACGCGUGCCCGGAGGGAGAGUACCCGCAGAAUAAGCAUCGGCUAACUCCGUGCCAGCAGCCGCGGUAAUACGGAGGAUGCGAGCGUUAUCCGGAUUUAGUGGGUUUAAAGGGUGCGUAGGCGGAUUGUUAAGUCAGCGGUAAAAUGUCCGGGCUCAACCCGGGCCGGCCGUUGAAACUGGGGAUCUUGAGUGGGCGAGAAGUAUGCGGAAUGCGUGGUGUAGCGGUGAAAUGCAUAGAUAUCACGCAGAACUCCGAUUGCGAAGGCAGCAUACCGGCGCCCGACUGACGCUGAGGCACGAAAGCGUGGGGAUCGAACAGGAUUAGAUACCCUUGUAGUC